GUUUGAUCCUGGCUCAGAACGAACGCUGGCGGCAGGCUUAACACAUGCAAGUCGAACGCAUCCUUCGGGGUGAGUGGCAGACGGGUGAGUAACGCGUGGGAACGUGCCCUUCAGUUUGGAAUAACCCAGGGAAACUUGGGCUAAUACCGGAUACGCCCGCAAGGGGAAAGAUUUAUCGCUGAAGGAUCGGCCCGCGUCUGAUUAGCUGGUUGGUAGGGUAAUGGCCUACCAAGGCGACGAUCAGUAGCUGGUCUGAGAGGAUGAUCAGCCACACUGGGACUGAGACACGGCCCAGAUUCCUACGGGAGGCAGCAGUGGGGAAUAUUGGACAAUGGGCGCAAGCCUGAUCCAGCCAUGCCGCGUGAGUGAUGACGGCCUUAGGGUUGUAAAGCUCUUUCGCACGCGACGAUAAUGACGGUAGCGUGAGAAGAAGCCCCGGCUAACUUCGUG
This 450-nucleotide ribosomal RNA is filed under the name uncultured Hyphomicrobiales bacterium. RNAcentral's name for it is "bacterial SSU rRNA". It matches the Rfam family "Bacterial small subunit ribosomal RNA", at positions 11 to 507 of the family's 1533-position model. Lineage: Bacteria; Pseudomonadati; Pseudomonadota; Alphaproteobacteria; Hyphomicrobiales. The record is from RNAcentral.